CCUACGGGAGACUGCAGUGGGGAAUAUUGGGCAAUGGGCGCAAGCCUGACCCAGCAACGCCGCGUGAAGGAAGAAGGCUUUCGGGUUGUAAACUUCUUUUAUCAGGGACGAAGCAAGUGACGGUACCUGAUGAAUAAGCCUCUGCUAACUACGUGCCAGCAGCCGCUGCAAUACGUAGGUGGCAAGCGUUAUCCGGAUUUACUGGGUGUAAAGGGCGUCUAGGCGGGAGGGCAAGUCAGAUGGUAAAACUGUGGGGUCAACCCAUAGCCUGCAGUUGAAACUGUACUUCUUGAGUGCUGGAGAGGCAAUCGGAAUGCGGGGUGUAGCGGUGAAAUGCGUAGAUAUACGGAGGAACACCAGUGGCGAAGGCGGAUUGCUGGAGAGUAACUGACGCUGAGGCGCGAAAGCGUGGGGAGCAAACAGGAUUAGAUACCCCAGUAGUC
Molecule: ribosomal RNA, 443 nt
Filed under: uncultured bacterium
Lineage: Bacteria
Description: partial 16S ribosomal RNA
Rfam family: Bacterial small subunit ribosomal RNA
Source: RNAcentral